UUGGAGGUUUUUCUAUCCUUUCCACUGAAGUCUAAUAACAAGCUGAGACUAAUCAGCUGAUUUGGGUCAGAACGAACCAGUUUCUGCCAGCCCGCUUCAAGCACAACUGUACCAUGUUAGCAGUGUAGGAAAUUUGCUAUAACAAUAUAAGUGGCUUGAUCAAUUAUUCCAUUAAUGAUUACAAUAGGAGUAAUUUUCUCCCUUUUUUGUUUCCAGAGGCCACUGUUUCUUCUUAAAGCUUUCAGAUAGUGAAGGUCAGAAAGUGGGCAACAGAAUCACUGUUUCCUAGUUGCAUGAGAACGUGCUAAGUCACUUCAGUCGUGUCUGACUCUGUACAGCCCCAUGGACUGUAGUCUGCCAGGCUUCUCUGUCCAUGGGAUUCUCCAGCCAAGAAUACUGGGAAAAGGAACGAUUCCAGCCAGGCUUUGGCGCACGAAGCGUGGCAUGGUUUAAUAGAAGUCGGGUGACUGAGACAUCUUGAUGCGAUUUCUGAGAAAGCCAGACGGUUUAUCACCUUUAAUAAGCGGGAAACCUUUAAUGAGUGGGAAGCAAAGUUGCCUGCAGGGUCAGCCACAGGCAGGUGGAUUUAUACCUGUGCCUGGGUUUGUUCCGUUUUUUUAAAGAAGGGCAUUCACAUGAAAGUUGCCUUUUGGAACAGAGAGAAUACAAAGAUGCCAAAACGCUGCUUUCCGGAUAAAUGCAUCAGUUUGCAAAAACUCCCAGGGUUUCCUGGAGGGGCCACCCACAGAGGAAGCACCAUCUGGUUGUCAUGCUGUCACGUCAGGGGAGAGCACUCCUUGGGCACAGGGCAAAACAGAACGUUCCUCAGAACUGGAUGGAGACACGUAGUAAGGACUGAAGCCAGGAGGCAGCAGACCACCCCAGGCCCGGGAAAACACUGCGCUGAGUAAGGUCAUAGACUCUAGGUACAUCCACACUUCUCUUGGGACACCUUAGCAAUUUUGAAACAGACUUAACAUAUAAAUCAGAAAAAUAUGCAUCUCUAGAGAGAUUGUUGAAUGUUUUCAGGACAUGAGGAGAAUCAAUUUGUUUAAAGAAUAAUAAACAUC
Long non-coding RNA from Bubalus bubalis (water buffalo), 1070 nucleotides. RefSeq lists it as uncharacterized. The transcript has 2 exons. Lineage: Eukaryota; Metazoa; Chordata; Mammalia; Artiodactyla; Bovidae. The record is from RefSeq and is a predicted model, not a curated record.